UAGGGAAUCUUCCACAAUGGACGCAAGUCUGAUGGAGCAACGCCGCGUGAGUGAAGAAGAGUUUCGGCUCGUAAAGCUCUGUUGUUAAAGAAGAACGUGGGUAAGAGUAACUGUUUACCCAGUGACGGUAUUUAACCAGAAAGCCACGGCUAACUACGUGACAG
This 164-nucleotide ribosomal RNA is filed under the name uncultured bacterium. RNAcentral's name for it is "partial 16S ribosomal RNA". It matches the Rfam family "Bacterial small subunit ribosomal RNA", at positions 355 to 511 of the family's 1533-position model. The record is from RNAcentral.